GACGAACGCUGGCGGCGUGCCUAAUACAUGCAAGUUGAGCGAUGAAGCUUGGUGCUUGCCCCAAUUUGAAGAGCAGCGAACGGGUGAGUAACGCGUGGGGAAUCUGCCUUUGAGCGGGGGACAACAUUUGGAAACGAAUGCUAAUACCGCAUAAUAACUUUAAACAUAAGUUUUAAGUUUGAAAGAUGCAAUUGCAUCACUCAAAGAUGAUCCCGCGUUGUAUUAGCUAGUUGGUGAGGUAAAGGCUCACCAAGGCGAUGAUACAUAGCCGACCUGAGAGGGUGAUCGGCCACAUUGGGACUGAGACACGGCCCAAACUCCUACGGGAGGCAGCAGUAGGGAAUCUUCGGCAAUGGACGAAAGUCUGACCGAGCAACGCCGCGUGAGUGAAGAAGGUUUUCGGAUCGUAAAACUCUGUUGGUAGAGAAGAACGUUGGUGGGAGUGGAAAGCUCAUCAAGUGACGGUAACUACCCAGAAAGGGACGGCUAACUACGUG
RNAcentral lists this ribosomal RNA (497 nucleotides) under uncultured bacterium. RNAcentral describes it as "partial 16S ribosomal RNA". It matches the Rfam family "Bacterial small subunit ribosomal RNA", at positions 28 to 507 of the family's 1533-position model. The record is from RNAcentral.